Molecule: non-coding RNA, 193 nt
Filed under: bacterium
Lineage: Bacteria
Also listed under: 1 other name
Source: RNAcentral
UUUUUGCGCCAGAUUUUAGGUGAACAUUUUUAAUGUUCUUAAAAGGGAAUUGGGUGUAAAACCCAAGCUGUUCCCGCAACUGUAAGUCGGUUUACUAUUUGUAAAUCAGUGAUUCUUUUUGCCACUGUCGCCAAAGCGAACGGGAAGGUGUCACGAGAUAAGCCAGGAGACCUGCCCAGAGUCUUUAUUAAUU